GAUGAACGCUGGCGGCGUGCCUAAUACAUGCAAGUCGAGCGAACAGACGAGGAGCUUGCUCCUCUGACGUUAGCGGCGGACGGGUGAGUAACACGUGGAUAACCUACCUAUAAGACUUGGAUAAUUUCGGGAAACCGGAGCUAAUACCGGAUGAUAUAUUGAACCGCAUGGUUCAAUAGUGAAAGACGGUUUUGCUGUCGCUUAUAGAUGGAUCCGCGCCGCAUUAGCUAGUUGGUAAGGUAACGGCUUACCAAGGCAACGAUGCGUAGCCGACCUGAGAGGGUGGUCGGCCACACUAGAACUGAGACGCGGCCGCGACUCCUACGGGAGGAAGCAGUAGGGAAUCUUCCGCAAUGGGCGAAAGCCUGACGGAGCAGCGCCGCGUGAGUGAUGAAGGUCUUCGGCUCGUAAAACUCUGCUAUUAGGGAAGAACAAAUGUGUAAGUAACUAUGCACGUCUUGACGGUACCUAAUCAGAAAGCCACGGCUAACUACGUG
RNAcentral lists this ribosomal RNA (497 nucleotides) under uncultured bacterium. Its description in RNAcentral is "partial 16S ribosomal RNA". It matches the Rfam family "Bacterial small subunit ribosomal RNA", at positions 28 to 507 of the family's 1533-position model. The record is from RNAcentral.